This 73-nucleotide transfer RNA is filed under the name Pipistrellus kuhlii (Kuhl's pipistrelle). It matches the Rfam family "tRNA". From Rfam's summary of the family: Transfer RNA (tRNA) molecules are approximately 80 nucleotides in length. Their secondary structure includes four short double-helical elements and three loops (D, anti-codon, and T loops). Lineage: Eukaryota; Metazoa; Chordata; Mammalia; Chiroptera; Vespertilionidae. The record is from Rfam by way of RNAcentral.
UAGAUUGAAGCCAGUUGUCUGGGGUGUUUAGCUGUUAACUAAUUUUUCGUGGGUUAAAAUCCCAUCAAUCUAG